AACGAACGCUGGCGGCAUGCCUAACACAUGCAAGUCGAACGGGAUCCUAGCUUGCUAGGUGAGAGUGGCGGACGGGUGAGUAACACGUGGGAAUCUGCCUUUUGGUUCGGGAUAACCGCGGGAAACUGCGGCUAAUACCGAAUGCCCUCGAGAGAGGAAAGAUUUAUCGCCAGAAGAGGAGCCCGCGUCCGAUUAGGUAGUUGGUGGGGUAAAAGGCCUACCAAGCCGACGAUCGGUAGCUGGUCUGAGAGGAUGAUCAGCCACACUGGGACUGAGAUACGGCCCAGACUCCUACGGGAGGCAGCAGUGGGGAAUAUUGGACAAUGGGGGCAACCUGAUCCAGCAAUGCCGCGUGAGUGAUGAAGGCCUUAGGGGUUAGUAAAGGCUCUUUUGCCAGGAAGAUGAUGACUGUACCUGGAGAAUAAGCCCCGGCUAACUUCGUGCCAGGCAGCCACGGUAAU
Molecule: ribosomal RNA, 461 nt
Filed under: uncultured bacterium
Lineage: Bacteria
Description: bacterial SSU rRNA
Rfam family: Bacterial small subunit ribosomal RNA
Source: RNAcentral